RNAcentral lists this unclassified non-coding RNA (184 nucleotides) under Cortinarius bivelosimilis. RNAcentral describes it as "partial internal transcribed spacer 2". The record is from RNAcentral. RNAcentral also lists the same sequence under 1 other name. Lineage: Eukaryota; Fungi; Basidiomycota; Agaricomycetes; Agaricales; Cortinariaceae.
AUAUAUAUCAACCUCUCUCUUGUUGGAGUGGUUUGGAUGUGGGGGUUUGCUGGCCUCUUAAAGAGUUCAGCUCCCUUGAAAUGCAUUAGCAGAACAGACCUGUUCAUUGGUGUGAUAACUAUCUACGCUAUUGAAUGUGAGGGGAAGUUCAGCUUUCUAACUGUCCUUGGACAAAUUAUCAUUU